This 314-nucleotide ribosomal RNA is filed under the name uncultured bacterium. Its description in RNAcentral is "partial 16S ribosomal RNA". It matches the Rfam family "Bacterial small subunit ribosomal RNA", at positions 499 to 807 of the family's 1533-position model. The record is from RNAcentral.
UUAUAAGAGACAGCAGUCGCCGCGGUAACACAGAGGGUGCGAGCGUUAAUCGGAUUUACUGGGCGUAAAGCGUGCGUAGGCGGCUUCUUAAGUCGGAUGUGAAAUCCCUGAGCUUAACUUAGGAAUUGCAUUCGAUACUGGGAAGCUAGAGUAUGGGAGAGGAUGGUAGAAUUCCAGGUGUAGCGGUGAAAUGCGUAGAGAUCUGGAGGAAUACCGAUGGCGAAGGCAGCCAUCUGGCCUAAUACUGACGCUGAGGUACGAAAGCAUGGGGAGCAAACAGGAUUAGAUACCCGCGUAGUCCCUGUCUCUUAUAC